UUUUGUGACUUUAUUCUCUCUACAGUUCCCGUUGCACCAGGCAGCGUCUUGUGAGCAAAUGUCCAUCUCUGCUCGCGCAGAGGCACGUCUCAAUACUUCUGGACAGAGAAGUUCGGGCUAGAAAGGCCAUCGCUAUGAAAUACCCCAAAUGGACCCCCCCCCCCAGGCCACAGCAAGCCCCUGCCCCGGGGAAGUUGAAAGGGCAAGACGAUCAGUGAUCGCUAAUGUGGCACAAGUAUUGCUGGGACACGGAGCUCCUGUCACUCUCUCGGUGGUGCACGUCCACUCCUUCCUUGUGACCGCAGCCAGCGCCGAGAGCAGCUCCCUGCGCUCAUCCAACCGCCCCCCCCCUUUCCAAGCACCCCCAGGCCACGCGCCAGUGCUCCGGCCGCGGUGUUGGGCCGACCCCGGCAUGCCCCCAGCUCAGGCUGAGGGAGAGGCCCGGGGCAGCCAACCUGUUGCCAGCCUUUCCCUGCGCUUCUGCGGGGCUGGCUGCAGAGGCCCAGGCAAGGCGGCCAGUGGGCGCGGCACGGAGCAGCCCCGGGCCGCCCAUUAGCCGCUGCAGCAGGGGAGCGGGUCCGCAGGGAGCCCUCGCCUGCAGCACGCCGCCUGUGUGGGGCGCCUCCAGCCCCGCGGGCCCGCCUGGGAGCAGCCCGGAGCGCUGGGUUUCCUGCCUGGGCAAGGAAGUGAAUAUCCAGAUCAAGACGCAUCACAACAGACGUAGAUGACAAUACAACUCCCUUCAAGCUUUGCCAAAAUGUAAAUCCAUCCCAGAGUGAAUGCACAUCUGCUGGGGUCCUGUGUGGACUAGGAAAACUAGGGUGACAAAGAAAUACAGGACAUAGGCAGCUCUUUCUGUGAUGCUGGUAAUCUUUUCAGCCACUUCUGAAGUGAAAUAACAGUUUAUGACGAGAAGGUUGUUGGGCUAGAUUCUCUGCUGGUGUAACUCCACUGACUUCAAUGCAUGCCUAUCACGAGAGAGUUUGAAAUCUCCUUGUUGCAACUGGUGGUGGAAUUGUGGAGAAACAGGACACAGCUACCCAAACUGGAAUUUAUCUAAGGCACGAGGGAUGAGGCCAUAAUCUUGCAAGUACCACUAUGACCACAAAUGCCUCAAAUCCUGUAUGAUAAAAAUAAACUUCCUUUCCCAACAGCACACUGUGGGCACUAGUUCAAUAACAGACCCAUUGGGGGAGACUGUUGUCUACAUGAUCAUCAGACUUGCUUUCUGCAGCACUUAAGGUUUCUUUCUUUCUUUCUUCUGUUAUUUUAGGCUUUCUUGCCACAUACAGACCAGUCUCACCUAAGCUCCAGUCCUGUAAACACUUAAGCACAUGUGUAACUUUACUCACUGAGUACAGUUUCUCACCUGCUGAAGUAUUUGCAGGAUCUGGCCCUUAGAAUAUGUUAUCUGACAAGAUCACAAGUUGAGAUUUGUACAAUGUAAAUGGUUUGUUUUGAAAAUUUCUGUUGCGCAGACUAGCAAGCACCCAUCUUUCUCUGCCUGGUGAUACAGAGGUCUAGUACUUUGGUUUCAGUUUGCAGUUACCACAGAAGACUCUGAUUAUUCAGUUUUACCAAUAUUUUAUAUUUUGAAAUAUGAACUUAUUCUGUAAUUGAAAACUUCUAACAUGAUCAAGACCUCUUCAUAGCACGGGAGCCAGCAGGUCCUUUCACAAUUCUUUACCCGAUGAAUUUAUUUUGUGUGAGUGUGUUUUUGUUGGGAAUGGUUAACUGUAAGUUCUCCUGUUCUCUCCUGAUUCGUAUCAAUUUCUUUGUUUUAUUCUCUGGAGGCAACAAAAUAUUAAAAUUAAAGAAGAAAAAAGCUUCAAGAAAAAACUAUGUUGUGUCAACAUCUUGGAAAAGAUCUUAGAGAACGUUUUAUUGUAAAAAGUUUUUAAUAAGGACUUUUAAAUACUGAUAAUUUAUCUCAUCUAAACACUGAAGAUAGUAAUCCUGAAGUAGAGCUCCCUGGGUGAUGAAUCAAUAUAUAUACCCCUAAGGCAAGAGAAAGUUUCAUAUGGGGACAUAAAUUGAAUAACAUACAAGGAAAACCCAUAGUUUUAGCAACACUUAUGUCUCUGCAUUACACUAAAGAUAGACACAGGCCACAUUUUGCAUUGUCUUGCAGCCACAGGAUCUCACAGGGGUUAUAUGGGUGUAAAUCAGCAUAAAAUUUGGCCCUUAUUUCUCCUGUGCCACAAAUUUUCCCUCAUCUCAUGCCUGGAAAAGCAGCUAAUUCUCUCACUGUCACGUUAAAAAUAACACUUAGAAAAGCAACAGUUUAUGCUAAUAACACGAGUUAAGCUUGAUGUGAAUGCCCCCAACCAACAGCCUUAACAGCAUGGAAGCUGAAGUGCAAUCUACAGACUGCAUGUGACAACCAAAGAUAGAGGAUUUUGAAAUGACUAGGAGGGAGGCAGGGCAUUCUUCCAGGAUCUAUUGGCACCCUACAGUAUUAAAAGAAACACACAAAAAUUAUAUAUGGAAACUACCCACAAAGGUAGCUUAGUGGCCCAUUGGUGCUAUGACUGUUGCUUGGCAUAAAUCUGCAUCCUAAAGCAGCCAUAUUUAGGUUCUUUAAAAGCCAUGGAGUCAUAGAAUUUUAGGCCAGAAGGGACCAGCAGAUCAUUUAAUCUGACUGCCUGUAUAUCACUGGCCACCACCUCCACCCAGCAGCUGCACACUGAAUCCAGCAACUGAAAUUAGAUCAAGAUAUUAACAGUCCUCAGGAGACCAAACCAAUACACGUCACAGGCAGAGAAUAGAAGGGACCCCAGAUGGACCAAUGCUCAAGGCAAUGGCAGGGAACUGAGCUAUUCCAAGAUGAUCAUGGCAAACAACUUGCACACCAGGCUGCAGAGGAAGAUGAAGCCCCCAGAAGGUCACUGCCAAUCUGAUCUGAGGAAAAAUUCCUUCCUGACCUCACACAUGGCAAUCAGUUAGACCCUGAGCAUAUGAGCAAGAACCAGGCAGCAAAGCACCCGAGAGAGAGAGAAUGCUCAGUAUCACAUCAGAGCACGAGCACACCCCGUACAAUGUCCCAUCUCCAGCUAUGGCCAGAUAAUAUAAACUUGCCUGACACCAUGCUCUGACAGUCAGUGAACCUGAAAUGGGGCAGACUGCCAAGGGAAGCUGAAUUCCACAAAUAAGGCUACUCUGUUGAGGAUCCCCAUCUGCUUUUCCAAGUGUCCUCCAGGUCAGGGGCAUAAUUUUGGGAAAAAAAUAUAUGGGGGUUGGGGGGCAAAGUUGUGUCAGCAUAUAGAACAUUAUAUGUGAUUAUAUUAUAUUCCUGAAAUAUAUUUAUAUGGGAAGCACAAAGUAGAAAAUAUAAUGAAGAAUAUAGACCUAUGAAAAUUCGGGAGGGGCAAACCAAUAACUGGGGUGGGCAACUGCCCCUCUUAACCCAUAGCACAUGAUGCCCCUGCUCAAGUGAUGUCUGUGUUUGUUAUAAGGUACUUUUUGUUUGUAACACU
Caretta caretta (loggerhead turtle) is the source of this 3476-nucleotide long non-coding RNA. RefSeq lists it as uncharacterized. The record is from RefSeq and is a predicted model, not a curated record. Lineage: Eukaryota; Metazoa; Chordata; Testudines; Cheloniidae.